ACACCAGUGCGAAACAAGUCCAUCAUAGGCUCUAUGGUGUCGCCUUCACUGAAACCAAAUGAAACAAUAUAUUUGGAUAUGUCGAGUACUGAAGCUAAUUAUUCUUGUCUAAGAUCUCCCUUGAUUCUUGUUAUCAGCAAAAUUUGAAACUAUUAUGAACUCUGCAGGAAAUAUUUCUUAAAGCCUUCAAAAUUUGGAACUAUUAUGAACUCUGCAGCAAAAAUUUCAUAUCAUGAGUGAUAAAUUAAUGUGGUGCCAUGUCAG
This 264-nucleotide long non-coding RNA is filed under the name Sorghum bicolor (sorghum). RNAcentral's name for it is "long non-coding RNA (SBIC_LNC014964)". Lineage: Eukaryota; Viridiplantae; Streptophyta; Magnoliopsida; Poales; Poaceae. The record is from RNAcentral.